UAGGGAAUCUUCCGCAAUGGACGCAAGUCUGACGGAGCAACGCCGCGUGAGUGAAGAAGGAUUUCGGUUCGUAAAACUCUGUUGUUAGAGAAGAACAGCGCAUAGAGUAACUGUUAUGCGUGUGACGGUAUCUAACCAGAAAGCCACGGCUAACUACGUGCCAGCAGCCGCGGUAAUACGUGGGUGGCAAGCGUUGUCCGGAUUUAUUGGGCGUAAAGCGAGCGCAGGCGGUCAAUUAAGUCUGAUGUGAAAGCCCCCGGCUCAACCGGGGAGGGUCAUUGGAAACUGGUUGACUGGAGUGCAGAGGAGGAGGGUGGAAUUCCAUGUGUAGCGAUGAAAUGCGUAAAUAUAUGGAAGAACACCAGUGGCGAAGGCGACUCUCUGGUCUGUAACUGACGCUGAGGCUCGAAAGCGUGGGUAGCAAACAGG
This 429-nucleotide ribosomal RNA is filed under the name Bacteroidota bacterium. RNAcentral describes it as "Bacteroidetes bacterium partial 16S ribosomal RNA". It matches the Rfam family "Bacterial small subunit ribosomal RNA", at positions 355 to 776 of the family's 1533-position model. Lineage: Bacteria; Pseudomonadati; Bacteroidota. The record is from RNAcentral.